AACGAACGCUGGCGGCGCGCUUAACACAUGCAAGUCGAACGAGAAGCUGUAGCAAUACAGUUGUAAAGUGGCAAACGGGUGAGUAAUGCGUGGGUAAUCUACCCUCGGGUGGGGAAUAACUCUUCGAAAGGAGAGCUAAUGCCGACAUGUGCAUCACUUUCGCAAGGAAGUGCUGGAAAGCCGUAUCGUGGAUACGGCGCCCAAGGAUGAGCUCACGUCCUANCAGCUUGUUGGCGGGGUAACGGCCCACCAAGGCUCCGACGGGUAGCUGGUCUGAGAGGACGACCAGCCACACUGGCACUGCGACACGGGCCAGACUCCUACGGGAGGCAGCAGUGAGGAAUAUUGCGCAAUGGACGAAAGUCUGACGCAGCGACGCC
RNAcentral lists this ribosomal RNA (380 nucleotides) under uncultured bacterium. RNAcentral's name for it is "bacterial SSU rRNA". It matches the Rfam family "Bacterial small subunit ribosomal RNA", at positions 29 to 398 of the family's 1533-position model. The record is from RNAcentral.